This 252-nucleotide ribosomal RNA is filed under the name uncultured bacterium. Its description in RNAcentral is "partial 16S ribosomal RNA". It matches the Rfam family "Bacterial small subunit ribosomal RNA", at positions 524 to 776 of the family's 1533-position model. The record is from RNAcentral.
UACGUAGGUCCCGAGCGUUGUCCAGAUUUAUUGGGUUUAAAGGGUGCGUAGGCGGAGUGCCAAGUCAGCGGUAAAAAUUCGGGGCUCAACCCCGUCGUGCCGUUGAAACUGGCGCCCUUGAGUGGGCGAGAAGUAUGCGGAAUGCGUGGUGUAGCGGUGAAAUGCAUAGAUAUCACGCAGAACCCCGAUUGCGAAGGCAGCAUACCGGCGCCCGACUGACGCUGAAGCACGAAAGCGUGGGUAUCGAACAGG